AGAGUUUGAUCMUGGCUCAGAUUGAACGCUGGCGGCAUGCCUUACACAUGCAAGUCGAACGGCAGCACGGGAGCUUGCUCCUGGUGGCGAGUGGCGAACGGGUGAGUAAAGCAUCGGAACGUACCUUGUCGAGGGGGAUAACGCAGCGAAAGUUGUGCUAAUACCGCAUACGUCCUGAGGGAGAAAGCGGGGGACCGCAAGGCCUCGCGCGAUGAGAGCGGCCGAUGUCAGAUUAGCUAGUUGGUGAGGUAAAGGCUCACCAAGGCGACGAUCUGUAGCGGGUCUGAGAGGAUGAUCCGCCACACUGGGACUGAGACACGGCCCAGACUCCUACGGGAGGCAGCAGUGGGGAAUUUUGGACAAUGGGGGAAACCCUGAUCCAGCCAUGCCGCGUGAGUGAAGAAGGCCUUCGGGUUGUAAAGCUCUUUCGGCCGGGAAAAAAUUGCACGGAUGAACAGUCUGUGUAGAUGAUGGUACCGGACUAAGAAGCACCGGCUAACUACGUGCCAGCAGCCGCGGUAAUA
Molecule: ribosomal RNA, 524 nt
Filed under: Rhodocyclaceae bacterium enrichment culture 13Fcon06
Lineage: Bacteria; Pseudomonadati; Pseudomonadota; Betaproteobacteria; Rhodocyclales; Rhodocyclaceae
Description: SSU rRNA
Rfam family: Bacterial small subunit ribosomal RNA
Source: RNAcentral